Molecule: ribosomal RNA, 272 nt
Filed under: Escherichia coli
Lineage: Bacteria; Pseudomonadati; Pseudomonadota; Gammaproteobacteria; Enterobacterales; Enterobacteriaceae
Description: partial 16S ribosomal RNA
Rfam family: Bacterial small subunit ribosomal RNA
Source: RNAcentral
AAAUUGAAGAGUUUGAUCAUGGCUCAGAUUGAACGCUGGCGGCAGGCCUAACACAUGCAAGUCGAACGGUAACAGGAAGCAGCUUGCUGCUUCGCUGACGAGUGGCGGACGGGUGAGUAAUGUCUGGGAAACUGCCUGAUGGAGGGGGAUAACUACUGGAAACGGUAGCUAAUACCGCAUAAUGUCGCAAGACCAAAGAGGGGGACCUUCUGGCCUCUUGCCAUCGGAUGUGCCCAGAUGGGAUUAGCUUGUUGGUGGGGUAACGGCUCACC